RNAcentral lists this ribosomal RNA (253 nucleotides) under uncultured bacterium. Its description in RNAcentral is "partial 16S ribosomal RNA". It matches the Rfam family "Bacterial small subunit ribosomal RNA", at positions 524 to 776 of the family's 1533-position model. The record is from RNAcentral.
UACGUAGGGUGCGAGCGUUGUCCGGAAUUAUUGGGCGUAAAGAGCUCGUAGGCGGUCCGUCACGUCGGGUGUGAAAAUCCAGGGCUCAACCCUGGACCUGCAUCCGAUACGGGCGGACUAGAGUUCGGUAGGGGAGACUGGAAUUCCUGGUGUAGCGGUGAAAUGCGCAGAUAUCAGGAGGAACACCGGUGGCGAAGGCGGGUCUCUGGGCCGAUACUGACGCUGAGGAGCAAAAGCGUGGGGAGCGAACAGG